AAAAAAAUAGGGCUGGUUAAUAUUUGCCGAAUAGCUUUUUAUUAUUUUUUUUAGCUAAAUUACAUAAAACCCUAUGUUAAAACUCGUUUUUUCAUUUUUCCCUCCUGUCAUUUAAAACCUACACACUUUGCUCCCUUGUAAAAUAAAAAAUAUUUACAGGAGGGGUACGGUGUGUCCUGUGAUGAUAAAAUGAUCAUUUUGUCCCUUACUAUUUUCGUCUUUUCCCUCAUCUUUCUCAACAGCAGUCUCGAUCGGCCGCGGUUCACGCCUCGAUCGGCCGCGGUUUCUCCGCGAUUCACGCCUCAUCUUCCUCCUGCACCCUCGCCGCCCCUCGAUUUCGGCGACAGUAGGGUGGAAAUCGAGGUAGGGGUAAUGGAGAGGUGGAAAACGACAACGAGAGCAAAGACGAGGUGACGGAGGAGGGCGAAUGGGUGUUUGUAGGCGCAAAUAGGGAUGUGGGCGAGGGUGAGGCAGUGGAGGAUAUGGCGAGGCGGCGAGGCGGAGGAAAGCGGAGAAAAGCCAAUCAAAGGGGAAAAAGGGCGGAGGGGUAUUUUGGGCAUAAAAAAUAUUUUAUAAUGGAACCCUAACGGAUCACUAACGGUAGGAGGCGAAGUGCAUAUUUUUUAUUUUAUAAGGGGGUAAAGUGUAGGUUUUUAAAUGACAAGAGAGGAAAGUGAAAAAUCGCGUUUUGACAGAAAGCUUUUCUGUAAUUUAGCCUUUUUUUUUAGCGGUCGUUUUCAUUUCUGUCUUUUCUUCAUUGCAGAUAAUAGAUAAAUCAGU
RNAcentral lists this long non-coding RNA (780 nucleotides) under Ananas comosus (pineapple). RNAcentral's name for it is "long non-coding RNA (ACOM_LNC027294)". The record is from RNAcentral. Lineage: Eukaryota; Viridiplantae; Streptophyta; Magnoliopsida; Poales; Bromeliaceae.